UGUAAGCGUAUACCAAAGUUGUUGCAGUUAAUACGCUCGUAGUCGGAAUUUGGCAGUUCCGGAUGUGUGCACGUCGUGUGCGCACUUCGCGGGGAUUGCUUUUGUGGUCUUGCGUAGGAUGAGGCACUUUUAUUAGUGAACGUCCUCACGCAACCACUUUUUACUGUGAGAAAAUCAGAGUGCUCAAAGCAGGCAUUUGCCGUGAAUGUAUUAGCAUGGAAUAAUAGAAUAGGACUUGGUUCUAUUUUGUUGGUUUGUUGGGACUGAGUAAUGAUUAAGAGGGACAGUUGGGGGCAUUUGUAUUUCGGUGCUAGAGGUGAAAUUCUUAGAUUACCGAAAGACAAACUGCUGCGAAAGCGUCUGCCAAGGAUGUUUUCAUUGA
Molecule: ribosomal RNA, 382 nt
Filed under: uncultured eukaryote
Lineage: Eukaryota
Description: partial 18S ribosomal RNA
Rfam family: Eukaryotic small subunit ribosomal RNA
Source: RNAcentral